Molecule: long non-coding RNA, 767 nt
Organism: Gopherus flavomarginatus (Mexican gopher tortoise)
Lineage: Eukaryota; Metazoa; Chordata; Testudines; Testudinidae
Exons: 4
Source: RefSeq, a predicted model, not a curated record
CAGCCGCCCCAAGUCCAGGGACGCCGCGGACGCCAUGGAAGCCGCCCGCCGCUGUGUCCUGAGGCGUUGUGACGCCAUCACGUUUGAACGCGAUUUACACCUCCACCUUCUGAUGCACGGAACCACCAUAAGCCUUUAACAGUGAGCUACUCAGUGUGCGUCACACUUGUCAGGAGAAGAGAGCUGUGUGGACCCAUCCAUGCUGCAACUGUGUUUUCGGAGCCUCUCUGCACUGGGAAUCUGAAGCACAGAGAAGAGACCAGGGAAGAGAAGGUAGCACUGCCCCGAGUCCCGUCUUCAGCUGAGGACGGUUGAGAAGGAACUGAGGAGGGUGUGGGACACAUGCACUCAAGAAGAUUCCAACUAGACGGGAGAUACCAUCUGGGUGCGUGCGCCCCAACCAGGCACUGCUACUGAAAAUCUCCGAUCGACAGCGCCGGGACGCACCGUCACCUAGAGUGGAGCACCCACAGGAACAGCACUCAAAAGAAGAACCAAGCUUCUGCCCGCGCAGGGGAGAGCGGUGGGGCUGAGUGCAGCUGGGGGCCGAGACCGAGGCAGGCAGCUGCGUGCCACUCAAAAUUGGCUCACAUGCCAUGUUUGGCACACGUGCUGUAGGUUGCUGACCCCUGCUGUAGACAGACGUUGAUCCAGACAUUGAUCCAUGUAAUGUAAUCCCCAUUUUAGGAUUCUAGGGUGAAGUAGAGCCCUUUUUGUAUUUAUUAUUAAAUAUCUGUCAAAACAAUAAAGUAACAAGAAAAUCUAGU